Molecule: ribosomal RNA, 893 nt
Filed under: Clostridioides difficile
Lineage: Bacteria; Bacillati; Bacillota; Clostridia; Peptostreptococcales; Peptostreptococcaceae
Description: partial 23S ribosomal RNA
Rfam family: Bacterial large subunit ribosomal RNA
Source: RNAcentral
CCCACAGGCCGUAAACCCAAGGUUUCCAGGGGAAGGUUCGUCCGCCCUGGGUUAGUCGGGACCUAAGCUGAGGCCGAAAGGCGUAGGUGAUGGACAACAGGUUGAUAUUCCUGUACUACCGAUAACCGUUUGAGAGAAGGGAUGACACAGUAGGAUAAGCUAAGCACACUGUUGGUUAUGUGUGCCCAAGCAUUGAGGCAGUCAAAGUAGGCAAAUCCGCUUUGAUAAUGCUGGGAUGUGAUGGGGAGCGAAAUUUAGUAGCGAAGUAGCUGAUUUCACACUGUCAAGAAAAGUCUCUAUCGAGGUUAAAGGUACCCGUACCGCAAACCGACACAGGUGGGUGAGGAGAGUAUCCUAAGGCCAGCGAGAGAACUGUUGUUAAGGAACUCGGCAAAAUGACCCCGUAACUUAGGGAUAAGGGGUGCCACCAUCAGGUGGCCGCAGAGAAUAGGCCCAAGCGACUGUUUACCAAAAACAUAGGUUUCUGCUAAGUCGCAAGACGAUGUAUAGGAGCUGACGCCUGCCCGGUGCUGGAAGGUUAAGGGGAUCUGUUAGAGCAAUCGAAGCAGUGAACUUAAGCCCCAGUAAACGGCGGCCGUAACUAUAACGGUCCUAAGGUAGCGAAAUUCCUUGUCGGGUAAGUUCCGACCCGCACGAAAGGCGUAACGAUUUGGGCACUGUCUCAACAACAGACUCGGUGAAAUUGUAAUUCCGGUGAAGAUGCCGGAUACCUGCGACAGGACGGAAAGACCCCAUGGAGCUUUACUGUAGCUUGACAUUGGGUCUUGGUACUACAUGUACAGGAUAGGUGGGAGGCUUUGAAACCAGGACGCCAGUUUUGGCGGAGCCAUCCUUGGGAUACCACCCUUGUAGUACUGGGACUCUAACCAUAG